UACGUAGGCAGCGAGCGUUGUUCGGAGUUACUGGGCGUAAAGGGUGUGUAGGCGGUUUUCUAAGUUUGGUGUGAAAUCUCCCGGCUUAACCGGGAGGGUGCGCCGAAAACUGGGAGACUAGAGUGCGGGAUGGGAGAGUAGAAUUCCUGGUGUAGCGGUGAAAUGCGUAGAUAUCAGGAGGAAUACCGGUGGUGUAGACGGCUCUCUGGACCGCCACUGACGCUGAGACACGAAAGCGUGGGUAGCAAACAGG
RNAcentral lists this ribosomal RNA (253 nucleotides) under uncultured bacterium. Its description in RNAcentral is "partial 16S ribosomal RNA". It matches the Rfam family "Bacterial small subunit ribosomal RNA", at positions 524 to 776 of the family's 1533-position model. The record is from RNAcentral.